Molecule: ribosomal RNA, 492 nt
Filed under: Acinetobacter johnsonii
Lineage: Bacteria; Pseudomonadati; Pseudomonadota; Gammaproteobacteria; Moraxellales; Moraxellaceae
Description: bacterial SSU rRNA
Rfam family: Bacterial small subunit ribosomal RNA
Source: RNAcentral
GGACGAACGCUGGCGGCGUGCCUAAUACAUGCAAGUCGAGCGRACAGAAGGGAGCUUGCUCCCGGAUGUUAGCGGCGGACGGGUGAGUAACACGUGGGUAACCUGCCUGUAAGACUGGGAUAACUCCGGGAAACCGGAGCUAAUACCGGAUAGUUCCUUGAACCGCAUGGUUCAAGGAUGAAAGACGGUUUCGGCUGUCACUUACAGAUGGACCCGCGGCGCAUUAGCUAGUUGGUGGGGUAAUGGCUCACCAAGGCGACGAUGCGUAGCCGACCUGAGAGGGUGAUCGGCCACACUGGGACUGAGACACGGCCCAGACUCCUACGGGAGGCAGCAGUAGGGAAUCUUCCGCAAUGGACGAAAGUCUGACGGAGCAACGCCGCGUGAGUGAUGAAGGUUUUCGGAUCGUAAAGCUCUGUUGUUAGGGAAGAACAAGUGCGAGAGUAACUGCUCGCACCUUGACGGUACCUAACCAGAAAGCCACGGYUAAYU